ACAACUAGUAAACUGGCGGACGGGUGAGUAACGCGUAGGCAACCUGCCUUUAAGAUUGGGAUAACGUUUGGAAACGAACGCUAAUACCGAAUAAUAUUCUUUGAAUCAAAGAGGGCUUCGGCUCUUGCUUAAAGAUGGGCCUGCGUCUGAUUAGCUAGAUGGUAAGGUAAUGGCUUACCAUGGCAACGAUCAGUAGCUGGUUCGAGAGGAUGAUCAGCCACACUGGGACUGAGAUACGGCCCAGACUCCUACGGGAGGCAGCAGUAGGGAAUUUUGCGCAAUGAGGGAAACCUUGACGCAGCAACGCCGCGUGAUCGAAGAAGCUUCUAGGAGUGUAAAGAUCUGUCAUAGGGGAAGAAAUACGUAUAUUCUAACACAAUAUUCGUUUGACGGUACCCUAUAAGAAAGCUCCGGCUAACUAGGUGCCAGCAGCCGCGGUAAUACCUGGGGGGCAAGCGUUGUCCGGAUUCAUUGGGCGUAAAGGGCUCGUAGGUGGGCUGACCAGUCAAAAUUGAAAUACAAUGGCUUAACCAUUGGAACGGUUUUGAUACUAUCAGUCUUGAGUGAAAUAGAGGUAAGCGGAAUUCCUAGUGUAGCGGUGAAAUGCGUAGAUAUUAGGAGGAACACCAAAGGCGAAGGCAGCUUACUGG
RNAcentral lists this ribosomal RNA (650 nucleotides) under uncultured marine bacterium. Its description in RNAcentral is "bacterial SSU rRNA". It matches the Rfam family "Bacterial small subunit ribosomal RNA", at positions 83 to 732 of the family's 1533-position model. The record is from RNAcentral.